AAAGAGCCUGGGAUCAAGGCCACGCCACGUUUCCGCGUGUGCGGUCCGCAGCCUCUUCACAGUCGAAUAACGAUCUGAGCGAAGGUGCAGGCUCCAGAGAAGCUGCAGAAGCGAAAAAAAGCAAAAAGCACAUUUUCUUGGGCAAGUCUACUGAUCCAAGACAUCCACAGUUCUGGGGAAAACACUGGAAGGUCAUUUGUCAAGUGUCUUCUAGUUCUAACACUGAAAACACGUUUCUGCAGCAGUUGAGCCCCCACAGAACCCUUUAAGACGAUGAGAAGACUGAGAUUUGUCGAGGUCACGUGAUUGCUCUCAACCACCCAGCUCUGAAGAGGCUUGAGAGCUGUGCCUGUCAUCCCUGUCAUUGUCCGCCUGUGUGAUCUUGGGCAGGUUAUUUAAGCUUUCUGAGCCUCAGUUUCCUCAUCCACAAAAUGGUGCAAAGCGAUUUCUACUUUACAG
This 459-nucleotide long non-coding RNA is filed under the name Equus caballus (horse). RNAcentral's name for it is "lncRNA (ENSECAG00000043769.2)". Lineage: Eukaryota; Metazoa; Chordata; Mammalia; Perissodactyla; Equidae. The record is from RNAcentral.